This 252-nucleotide ribosomal RNA is filed under the name uncultured bacterium. RNAcentral's name for it is "partial 16S ribosomal RNA". It matches the Rfam family "Bacterial small subunit ribosomal RNA", at positions 524 to 776 of the family's 1533-position model. The record is from RNAcentral.
UACGGGGGGGGGCAAGCGUUGUUCGGAAUUACUGGGCGUAAAGGGCUCGUAGGCGGCCAACUAAGUCAGACGUGAAAUCCCUCGGCUUAACCGGGGAACUGCGUCUGAUACUGGAUGGCUAGAGGUUGGGAGAGGGAUGCGGAAUUCCAGGUGUAGAGGUGAAAUUCGUAGAUAUCGAGAGGAACACCGGUGGCGAAGGCGGCCAACUGGACGAAUACUGACGCUGAGACACGAAAGCGUGGGAGCAACAGG